AGAGUUUGAUCCUGGCUCAGGAUGAACGCUGGCGGUAUGCUUUACACAUGCAAGUCGAACGAAAGUUUUAACUUUAAGUGGCGAACGGGUGAGUAACACGUGAGAAUUUGCCUUUAGGAAGAGGAUAACAAUUGGAAACAAAUGCUAAUACUCUAUAUGCUAUACAGUGAAAGGAAAAACUAUUUUGCCUAAAGAGAAGCUCGCGGCUGAUUAGCUUGUUGGUAAGGUAAUAGCUUACCAAGGCGACGAUCAGUAUCUGGUUUUAGAGGAUGAGCAGACACACUGGAACUGAGACACGGUCCAGACUCCUACGGGAGGCAGCAGUGGGGAAUUUUCCGCAAUGGGCGAAAGCCUGACGGAGUAAUACCGCGUGAGGGAAGACAGCUUAUGGGUUGUAAACCUCUUUUUUUAGGGAUGAAUAAAUGACGUGUACCUAAAGAAUAAGCAUCGGCUAACUCCGUGCCAGCAGCCGCGGUAAUACGGGGGAUGCAAGUGUUAUCCGGAAUUAUUGGGCGUAAAGAGUCUGUAGGUGGUUAAAUAAGUCAAUUGUUAAAUCUUGAAGCUCAACUUUAAAACUGCAAUCGAAACUGUUUAACUAGAGUAUAGUAGAGGUAAAGGGAAUUUCCAGUGUAGCGGUGAAAUGCGUAGAUAUUGGAAGGAACACCAAUGGCGAAAGCACUUUACUAGGCUAUUACUGACACUCAGAGACGAAAGCUAGGGUAGCAAAUGGGAUUAGAUACCCCGGUAGUCCACGCCGUAAACGAUGUCUACUAGGAGCUGGGGUCUUCGGACAACUUUUCCAAAGCUAACGCAUUAAGUAGACCGCCUGGGGAGUACGGCCGCAAGGUUAAAACUCAAAUGAAUUGACGGGGGCCCGCACAAGCGGUGGAGCAUGUGGUUUAAUUCGAUGCAACGCGAAGAACCUUACCUACACUUGACAUACAGAGAACUUACUAGAGAUAGUUUGGUGCCUUCGGGAACUCUGAUACAGGUGCUGCAUGGCUGUCGUCAGCUCGUG
RNAcentral lists this ribosomal RNA (1018 nucleotides) under uncultured bacterium. RNAcentral's name for it is "bacterial SSU rRNA". It matches the Rfam family "Bacterial small subunit ribosomal RNA", at positions 8 to 1064 of the family's 1533-position model. The record is from RNAcentral.